GCCUGGGUGGCUCAGUUGGUUGAGCAUCCGACUUUGGCUCAGGUCAUGAUCUUGUGGUUUGUGAGUUCAAGCCCCACAUUAGGCU
RNAcentral lists this transfer RNA (85 nucleotides) under Felis catus (domestic cat). It matches the Rfam family "tRNA". Rfam says of the family: Transfer RNA (tRNA) molecules are approximately 80 nucleotides in length. Their secondary structure includes four short double-helical elements and three loops (D, anti-codon, and T loops). Lineage: Eukaryota; Metazoa; Chordata; Mammalia; Carnivora; Felidae. The record is from Rfam by way of RNAcentral. RNAcentral also lists the same sequence under 6 other names.